Molecule: long non-coding RNA, 713 nt
Filed under: Trifolium pratense (red clover)
Lineage: Eukaryota; Viridiplantae; Streptophyta; Magnoliopsida; Fabales; Fabaceae
Description: long non-coding RNA (TPRA_LNC013699)
Source: RNAcentral
UAUCACAUAAAUUCAUCGCAAAAGGGACUUGUUGUUAUUUGUUACUCUUCGAUGGACAACAAUUUAUUCUCCAUUUCACACUUUCAAUUUCUGGAUUUGAAGGUUGGAAGAGCAUUCAAAUAAGAAAAUGGAUUUUCGGGUUUUUUUCCUUCACAACAAGAUUUGUGUAUUCUGAUUACUUACUCGAUCUCGCUAUAAAAUUCCGGGCUUUGACAUCAUCAUCAUCUCCUUCCUCAACCACCAGCUGCAUCGUUACUUCUGGCACUGAUGUCCAACAACCACCAGCAGAUUCGUGUUUGAAUAUUGGGUUUUAAGGUGAGAUGAGUUGGGGAUGAUUUUUGUUUCCCAAGUUUGGAUGAAGUUUACAAAAUAGGCAUGAUUUUCAUUUCCCAUACGGGAUGUGUUAGAUUUUGUAAAUUUUUGUUAGAUUUGGAUGAUUUUUGCUUUGUUUCCCAGGGGUUGCUUAGAGUUAGUUCCUUUCAUUCUUACAUUGUCUUGCUGCUACUGCUUUAUGUCAUUUUUUUUUUUUACUUUAUGCUUUAUGUCAUUUUAAUUCUUGCAUUUGCUUCCCUAUUGUUAUUGGUUUUGUUAAGUUAUUUUAGGGGUUUUGUGUGUACAUUUGAUUUUUAAGUUAGCAAAUUUGUUUAUUAUGAAUUUGAAGGUGAGAUGAUUUUAGUAUGAAUUUGUUUUAAUUUUUUUGUAUUUUAUUAUCU